UGGGGAAUAUUGGACAAUGGGCGAAAGCCUGAUCCAGCCAUGCCGCGUGAGUGAUGAAGGCCUUAGGGUUGUAAAGCUCUUUUGCCAGGGAAGAUGAUGACUGUACCUGGAGAAUAAGCCCCGGCUAACUUCGUGCCAGCAGCCGCGGUAAUACGAAGGGGGCUAGCGUUGUUCGGAAUUACUGGGCGCAAAGGGCGCGUAGGCGGCCGUUUAAGUUAGGUGUGAAAGUCCUGGGCUCAACCUGGGGACUGCACUUAAUACUGGAUGGCUUGAAUUCGGGAGAGGAUAGCGGAAUUCCCAGUGUAGAGGUGAAAUUCGUAGAUAUUGGGAAGAACACCGGUGGCGAAGGCGGCUAUCUGGACCGACAUUGACGCUGAGGCGCGAAAGCGUGGGGAGCAAA
This 400-nucleotide ribosomal RNA is filed under the name uncultured bacterium. Its description in RNAcentral is "bacterial SSU rRNA". It matches the Rfam family "Bacterial small subunit ribosomal RNA", at positions 355 to 772 of the family's 1533-position model. The record is from RNAcentral.